UUUUUUUUUUUUGGUUUCCCACCCGGUGUUCGGUACUCACAUUGGAGCCCGACUAAAUCCGGAUUUGCGCCGGGAAUAUCCUAGAAUUAAUUAGCAGUGUCAACUUCCAUCUUUAAUUGCUAUAUAUAGGGAUUGCUAGAAGUCAAGGCAACAAUGUCAAAGUAGUGUUUAAUGUCUGGGCCAGCUUCGUUUAUUUAUUCAACUCAUUGUAUGGUUGCAAUUCCAAACUCAUUGUAUGGUUGCACUUCCAAACUCAUUGUAUGGCUACAAUUCCAAAAAUCCAUUGACAAGAAUCAUGUUACAUUGAACAACAUAUUUGGUUGAUUUUUUUUUCUUUUUUCAACAUAAGACAGAGAGUUUUUUAUACUAAUAUCAAACAUACACAACUCCUCACUAUCCUCUCUUUAAAACAAUCAGGAAAGCCUGCAUUUUAAAUAGCAGAUGGCGACUGAAAUGGAACUAGCAAAACAGAGUGUACCAAUUAACAAGAUACCAAAACACUCCGUUGAUUGAGUGAUGAGAGUCUUAGUUAUACGAAGGGGGUGCAAUAAUACCUUACAAGAAUACAAGGCAUGAAGAGACUUUCUGAACGAUAAUAAUUAUUGAUGAAGAGGUAAUAACAUUGACACUUUUACUUAGCUUAAACUAUCGUUCAUGUUUACUAUACUUUUGCCAUCACCCGUUUAUCAAUACUAGGGGACAAAGAUUCAAGGAACACUAUUUAAUAAGCAUAUCGAAACAAGGAAGGACUUUCUGAAGCCAAAUAAGAGUGACUCCAUUGUAAAUGGUCGUUUAGAUCGGGUCCAUCCCAACUACUCUUCUGUGCAUGAAGAAAUGGAACUGUUCUUUACAGAUAACACAGUCAUAAAGUAGACUGACCAUGACGUUUCAACACAAAAAUUCUCUGAUGGAUUUGCAUUAAUGGAACAUGCCGAGAAAUUGCCAAAUGGUGGUAUAUUCGGUAAGUAUUUGCAUGAUUUACUGCUUAUUUCCAUGCAAAAAUACAUAACAAAACUAUCAUUAAUUAACUAAUUGGCCUUUUACCAGACUUGAUUUGCUUGUUCGUUACGGUAAAUCCCCUCAUUGAAAAAGAAUAUAGCAAAAGACGAGAAAUUGUGGUUACUAAUGAACUGUAAGUUGCAAUGAUGCGUACUCCACCAUCUAUAGAGAUAUGGUGAUGUAUUCACUAAACUCGUCUAACUUAUAAUCCAACAUGGAGCAGAUUACGCAGAAUAUGACGGUGCAUUUUUGGAGAAGUUGAAAGAUGAUACACCUUUUCUUGGUUGUGUGACGUUAGAGUCUCAAUCUAUAAAGGUAUCAUACAGUCUAUUGUAUGUGUUUAUAGGAAAUAUAUUUGUUGUUUCAUAACUUUAUUAUGCUCUUAUUACACUAGGGACUAUUGGGAUAUAUGUGUUGAUCAAUCCACUGUUUCAAACAGCAUUAGUACUUCUAAUGAAACUUACAUUAGUUCUAUUCAUAGGUUCGAGGGAAGAAGAGAUGACAUGACCACCACUAGACAACUACAAAUAUUUAGUAGUUCAAAAUAAGUGUAUUUUUCAAAUUUCAAAUAUUUUGGAUGAAAACUAGCUGCUGGAUUUCUGAAACGCAAAAUCUUUUAUUACCAUAUAUAUCUUGAAAUAGGGUGAAACUUUGCUUUUAAUGUUAAACUACAUUAAAGGAAUGAAUAAUGUUGUGCAUUCCCAUAGUAAUUAAGCCCUAAGAUUAAUUCUAUUUUACAAGUUCUUGUAAUAAGUAGGAAAAGCUCUCAAUAGUCCUUUGACAAGCCUCAGAAUAUAGGAAAAGAAGGACGAUCCCAUAGUACCGGGCUCGGAAACCUACACAAGUGUAGAACCAAGGAGUGAGUAUCAACAAUACCGUACCCAACAAGCAACCUAAUAAACAAAUCAGCCUAACUAGGAAAUGAAUACUCCUUUCAUCCCAACCGAACCUCCUCAACUACAAUCUGCACAGAAAUCAGCUUACAGUUCUACAAUAUAAAGUUCAAAAGGCUCAAUAAUCACAACACAAUAGUCACAAUUCAACACACAUCAAGUAAGUCAAUAUCAAUGUCAAGUAGAUCAUACACACGUAACAAGUGCAUCAAUCACAAUUAACAAGUCACACAUAAGCAUCAAAAUGCAUCAAAUAACCAUAGUCAGUUUCUCGCCGGAACCAUUUCUCAUUGGCACAAUAUCACUAGCCGGAACCAUUUUCCAUCUACUUUAUAUCAAAUCACUAGCCGGAACCAUUUCCCAUCAGCUUUAUAUCAAAUCACUAGCAAGAACCAUUUCACAUCGAUUUUAUAUCAAAUCAUUAGCUAGAACCAUUUCCCAUCGACUUUAUAUCAAGUCACUAGCCAAAACUAUUUCCCAUCAACUUUAUAACACUUGUCGGAAAUGAUCUCGACAUCAUAAACACUUGCCGGAAAUGACCUCGACAUCAUUACCCUCACAUGUCUCAUCAUGGUGUUCAACAAUCAAUGCACACAAGCAAUAUCACACCACACGGAAGAAGCAACAAUUCAUGCAAUUCAAGUCCACUUUCAUGCAUUCAAGCAAUUUAUCAACCAAUCAAAUAGGGGUCAUCUAAGUUGGAAAUUUGUGAAAUUUUAGCCUUUGGGUUGACUUUGGUCAACAUUCGGUGUUCGGAUGCUCAAAUCAAAAUUUUGAGAGUUUCGUUGAAUUUGGCCUAUGUGAGGUCUUGGUUGAUUUUUCAGAGGUCCCGAGCUUGAGAUAGCUUUUUUAGGAAUUAUGUUCAUUUCUAGGGACUUCCACGAGUUUUGGGUCAACGAGACCUCAGAUUCGUGUUUCGACAUCUCUAUCGAGUCUGAAACGUCGAGUUUAGUCAAUUAGAAUAUAUGAUUUGUGUGUACUGGGUUUUGAACGAAUCUCGAGGGUCCAUUUGGAGACUUUAGCAAAAACUAGUAGAUCAUGAUCGCUAUUAAUACAUUUACGCGAUUUUCAAUAAUUUUAAUAAAUAAGAUUUACGGGCCUCACUUUUAAAUUAAAAAAUAAUUAUUUAAAAUAAAAAAAGUUAGAACAAAAAAUUACUAUGUAACUAUUCUUCUAUAUAAAUAAAAAGUCAAUAACACAGAAAGGACAACUUAAUUAAGGAGUGAAAUUAGAAAUCUAAUCGUAAAAUGGCAAAAUUUCAAAUGUUCAUAACUUUGGCCUCGAAUGUCUGUUUUAGGCAAAAAAAAAUUGAGUUUGAGUAAUUUUUCGCGUAAUUUCUAAAAGUUGGCUCGUAAAUGUAAAAAUAUGUCUUAAAAUGGUGGGACAAUACGUAAUGCUCCCCCAACUCAUCACGUAGGUCCUCAUAAAGUUUUUUCAGGAAAAAAUUCUGGGUGCCACAACCCACAAGGUGCCAAAUCCAUGGGUAAUACACACGAAAAACUAAGAAAGUCGCGUAUUUCCUAAAAAUUGGCUCGUAAAUACAAAAAUAUGCCUUAAAAAUGGUGGGACUAUAUGUAAUGCUCCCCCAACUCAUUACGGAGGUCCUCAUAAAAAUAAUUCAUAAAAAAAAAAUUGGGUGCCCCAAGGCGCCAAAUCCAUAGGCUAAUACACAAAAAAAAAUAAGAGAGUUGCCACUACAAGAAAAUGUACUUAAAGCUACAAAACACAUUGUAGCUAAAUAUAAAAUUUUCCGUAGCUAAACACUUUAGCUACAUUAUUUUUUUCGUAGCAUCCGUAGCAAGAUGUAGGGUGGCUAAAAGUUAGCUACAAACUUUACAUGGUCUGUGGCUAAAAAGUUAUACUUCUAGCUACAGAUUAAAAAUUGUAUGUAGCUGCAAUAGAAACAAGUUUCUGCCACAAAAAUAAACUUAUGGCAAGUUAUCUUACUCUUGUGCCACUACAAAUAAAUUUAUAGCUAUAUUUAUAUAGUAGCCACAAGGUGUUGUAUUGUAGCAAAAGAUCUAAUUUAUUUGACACAGAAAUUUGAAUUUUGUAGCUAGUUCUGUAACUUAUCUCGUGGCAAUAGUAUCAUAUUUAGUUAUGAAUUAUAAAAAUUCAUAGCUAUAACUCAAUGUAUUUGCCACAAAUAUUUUCAUAUUGUAGCUAAGAAUUCAUACCUUUAGCCAUGAAAUAUAUAGCAUUGAAACUAAAUAAAAAUUAUUUGCUACGAAAAAGUAUUUUUUUAGCCAUGUUCUUUAUCCGUGGCAAUUAUAGGAGCAUAUGUAUACCUACGAAUUUAAUAUUUGACAACUAAAUUUUCACACCUCAUUGUCACAAGAUAUAAAUUGUAGCUAAAAGUUCUUCAUUUGAUAUGAAAAUGUGUAUAAAUAAUAUUUCCGUGGCAAUUAUACAUGUUUUGCAGCAAAUUCAAUAAAAUUAUAGCUACCAAUUCAUAUAAUGUAGAUAAGAUUUAACACAAAAUUUAUAAAAGAUAGUGCAAAAUAUAAUAAAUUGUUUAUUGUAUAUAAUGUAUUAAAAAAAUACUUAAUAAAGAUUCAACAAUGUCUUCUAAAAUAGUGAAACAUCAUUUUACUCAAACAUAUCAAUAUUCUUUUACAAGAGAAAAUAAUUAUCCGUAUCACAUCAAUUUUGAUGCUUUCAUCACUCCUUCACAAGCUGCAAUAACAGUUAAAAAAUUAAAGUAAAAAUAAAAUAAUGACAUAUUCAAUUUAAUUAUUAGUAUAACUUUUCAAAUAAAACAAAUAUUUACUAAAUUAAUGAUAUGGAAAAAUAUAUAUUUUUUAAAUUACUUACGGUUAUAAAAUCUUUUGAGUGUCAACCUUGAGCUGCAACCAUCAUUUGAAAACUAUAUAAAUAACAUCAAAUAUAAGUGUCUAUAAAAGUAAAAUAAGAUCAAUAACAAUAACGAAUACUUGUUGAAUUUGAUGAUUCAUGUUCUUUCAUAUUUGCAAUCUCUUUUUGACACAUGAUUCCUAAGAAUACUUUUCUCAAGAAAAGUUAUUAUAAAAAUAUCACAAUUCUUUGGUAAUGUGUAAAUUUGGACAGAUUUUCCUUAUGCAAUUUAUAAUUAAUAGUCAUGCUCAUAACAUUUGAAUCAUCAAAACAUUCCGAUAAUCCAUCAUAAUCACGAAUAGUCCUAUCAUCUCUCAUAUAAAAAUAAUAAUUUCCUUCCAAAAUAUCAAAUUCUAGUGAAAUAAAAUUGGAGCAAUCAUAAACAGAACACAAAAAAAGAAAAUAAUAUACUCCACAUGAAGAGUAAUUAGAAAUAAAACAUGGCUAUAAUAUCAUCUCAUUGAAUAAAAAAAUAUUAUGAAAGUGAAAGAAAAAAGAAAAUUAAAAAAAAAAGAAGAAUGUACUUGGCUAAGGUGAAAUCUCACAAAUCAAAAUAGUACUUUGUUAAAUCAUGUACUUAAAAGCAGGCAAAGAAAAAAGUUACUCAUACAAUUUAUUUUUGCAGUGACUUGGAAACAAAAGUUGAAAUUGGGAUGUAUAUUAAAAAAUAUAGGAGAAACUGACGUGUGGGUUGAUUUUCUUCCUUUCGGGGGAAAGCUUUUUUUAGGGAUUUUGACUUAUUAAAAUAGGAAAAGAGAGCUAAUUUAGGCAGAAAAUAAUGAGAGGGAAAUAACUUGGAGGGAAAUCUUUUUGCCUUUGUUUUGAAUUUCGGUGCUACAAAUUACUUGCUGUUUUUUAAAAAUUUGAUAUAACUCAUUAUUUUUUUCAUAAAUUAGAAGAUUUUUUUUGUGAAUUCAUCCAUUUCCCUCCUAAUAUUCAGAACAAUAAGAAGGUUUUAAUAGAAUUAAAUUAUAUUUAAAACUUAAAAUCAUUAUCUAAAAGAAUUUGAAUUAGCUACGAACUUUGUCGCAUUUAUUGCUUUUUUUCUCGUAGCUAAAAGAAUUUUGUUGUCAAUUCAAUGCUAAAUAUUAUUAAUGAUAGGUUUUUCUAUUUGAUUAUAAUAUUUGUUUGUCGCUAAAUCUUAUUUUUUAGUAGUGAUUAAUUAUGUGGGUAUAUAAUUUGGCCAUGAUUUGUUAUAAAAUUUGAAAAAAGUACUUUUUAUUUUUGAAGUUAUAUUUGAAAGGAAAUUUGUGUUUGACCAUGAAUACAAAUUGAAAUUGUUUUUGACUUUUUAUGAGUAAUUUGGAGUGAAAAGGAUGAAAAGACUUUUUUGUUGUAUCCCCAAUUCUUCAAAAUUCUAGAAUUCAAGUUGAAUUUCGAAAUUUUAUGACCAAACGUGAUUUUCGUAGUUCAACUUUUGGAGAAAGACAAAAAUUCAUGAUCAAACACUUAUAAUUAAGGUCAUAUAAAAUUAAUUGAAUCUAAAUUUUAUAUAAACAUCUAAUUACAUUAAAUCUGUUGAGAUUAUUCUAAAAAAUAAAGGUCCAAGUCAGAUUACAAUUUUCAUGUAGUGCUUGUUUAAGAUAACAGAUGAACGACCCUGGUUAUUGGUGAACUUUGUUUAAAUUGUAUUUGAAACUUACUAGAUAUAAUAAGAAAUAAUAAUAAUAAUAAUAAUAAUAGCAACAGUGUAAUCUUAGUGAAAUUUUGAGAGGGUGAUGUAUAUAUAACCUUAUCUGUGAAGAUAGAGAAUAUUUUCGAAAGACUUUUAGCUCAACUAAAAAAAUACAAGUUAAGUUUAGAAAAAAAAUACACUAAUGAAAAAGUCAUAUUGAGAAUAAAAAAGAACAAUGCUAUCUAUUUAACAUUUAUUUAAAUUAUAUUUGAAACUUAAAACUAAAUCGACUAGAACAAUGUACACCUAUUAUUAUACAACGAUAUAUUAUUUUGAGAAAAUAAGUUCGAGUCAAAUCUAACAAUUCUCAAAGUACUUGAAGAAGAAGAAAUUUGAGGUGAAUUAGUGAAGUUAAUUUUGUUUAAAUUUAAUAUAGGUAAUCAACCAAAAUUAGUUAAACAUAACUCUUUUUUAUUAAUUUAUAUUUAAAACUUAUUUAUUAAGAUCUUUUAAGAUAGAAUAAUUAACAUCUCUAAUUAAGAUAGCUAGAUAAGUGUAUUGUUUGAUAAAAGAGAUGUGACUCAAAUAACAAUUUUUGAACACAACAUAAAGUACCUCAAAACUUAUGUUUCAUCUCGUAUUACAUAAAACAUCUCAUCUUAAUUGUGCUCAUGUACUUUACAAACCUUAGUUAAAUUCAUAAUAAAUUAUAUUGUAUUUAUCUUCUUUUUUUGUCAAUUGUUAAAUUAUUGUAAUUAAAUUGAUAAUUAUGGAAUUUGAACAAAAGAAAACUACAUGUAUCAUUCACUUUAUUUAGUCCACUUUGGACGUUACACCUCUAUAAAAAUGACGAUUGGUAUGACUAUUUUACAAGAUAUCCAUAUAUUAAUUGAUGUUAGUUCUUGAAAAAUAAUUUUAAAAAUAAGUAAUUAAUUACUUUUAAUGUGAUUUUCUUAUUAACAUCCACGGUUUGGUGCAAAACUUGUUUCCUUUCCUCUUUAAGUUGUGGUACUCUUCAUAUUUGUGUGUCUCAUGUUUAUAUUAUUUCGUAAUGACAAAUAAUUAUAAUUACUAAGUUAAUUAUUGCCACAAUUUUUGAUACUCAAAAAAUAUUUAUUUAACUAUAGUAUUUUAUUUUAAAUUAUAUUUUAUGGAUAAAAGGUUAUUAUUGCUCCAACUAGUUUCAACACGAUGGCGGAAAAAAUUAUAAUUAAUUAUAAAUUUUAUUAUAGAAAAAAAUCAACGACUGUAUCUUUUAAUAUGCCACAAAUUUUAUAACUUGAAAAAAAAUAUCUAUUCUGCUAUUAAUUUUUCUUCAAAUAGUUUAUGGUGGUUAAAAUUUAUCACUACUAUGGCAAUUUCACAUUCGUGGUAAAUAUUAACAAUUAGUUACGAAAUUUUAUUUUGGCAAAAAAAUUAUGGCUAUUUCAUUUAUUUAUCGCCACAAUCUUUAUAAACUGAAGCAAAAUUAUUUAUUUAGCUACAAAUAUUUCUUCAAAUAACUUAUGGUGGCUAAAAGGUUGUUAUCACUAUCGUAAAUUUAAACUCCCGGUAAAAAUUAACAAUUAGCUACGAAAUUUUAUUGUAACAAAAUAUCUAUGGCUACUUCGUUUAAUUAUUGCCAUAAUAUUUUAUAACUCGAAGCAAAUAUAUUUAUUAGCUACAAUAUUUUGUUUCAAAUAACUUAUUGUGGCUAAUGAGUUACUAUUGCUACAAUUACUUUUAUCGUGUGGCAAAAACUUAUAUUUAGCUACAUAAUUUUAUCGUAGCAGUAAUAUUAUAGCUAUUUAGGUAAUUAUUGCCACGACAAUUGAUAAUUAUAGAAAAAACUAGAUUUUAGCUUUAUCAAUUUAAUAUUCGUGGCUAAGAAAUUUGAUGAAUUUUUAGAUAGCCACGAAAUUUGAANNNNNNNNNNNNNNCCCUCUGUCCCCUCUCCCAGAUCUUGUUUGCCACUCUCCCAGAUCUCGCUCGCUCACUCGCCUCUCUCACUUUAUACAAUUGAUCUUUUUGUAUAUGUAUAUCAAAGCAGAUUAUACAACUGCUUUCUUUUGUAUAUGUAUAGUGAAAUAUAUAUAUUUAUGUUUGCUAUGGUGUAAACUUUGCUAUAGCAUACAAAUAUGAAUUUUGUGUUUGUUAUAUGUGAAAGUUGCUCGAAUAAGCUCUAAAAUUUAUCACUACUAUGGCAAUUUCACAUUCGUGGUAAAUAUUAACAAUUAGUUACGAAAUUUUAUUUUGGCAAAAAAAUUAUGGCUAUUUCAUUUAUUUAUUGCCACAAUCUUUAUAAACUGAAGCAAAAUUAUUUAUUUAGCUACAAAUAUUUCUUCAAAUAACUUAUGGUGGCUAAAAGGUUGUUAUCACUAUCGUAAAUUUAAACUCCCGGUAAAAAUUAACAAUUAGCUACGUAAAUUUUAUUGUAACAAAAUAUCUAUGGCUACUUCGUUUAAUUAUUGCCAUAAUAUUUUAUAACUUGAAGCAAAUAUAUUUAUUAGCUACAAUAUUUUGUUUCAAAUAACUUAUUGUGGCUAAUGAGUUACUAUUGCUAUAGUUACUUUUAUCGUGUGGCAAAAACUUAUAUUUAGCUACAUAAUUUUAUCGUAGCUGUAAUAUUAUAGCUAUUUAGGUAAUUAUUGCCACGACAAUUGAUAAUUAUAGCAAAAACUAGAUUUUAGCUUUAUCAAUUUAAUAUUCGUGGCUAAGAAAUUUGAUGAAUUUUUAGAUAGCCACGAAAUUUGAAUUUUUGUGGCUAUUACUAAAUAAUAGCUACGAGUUUUAGAUUGGUAGCUUAGAUUCCAUAGCUAUAAAUACAUUUUCUUGUAGUGCCACUAGCUUAACUUAAGUAAUCAUCUAAAAAGUAUAACCCUUUAAUACCCAUGAUGGCUACAUGGUUUAUGGAGACUUGAGUUAAUAUGAACUCGCAUCCCUAUAUCGGUGCUCAAUACUACUCCCAAAAAUAUACUUAGCUCAUAUGUUUUUAAAACAACUUCUUUCUUUGGUUUGAGAUAAUUACUCAAAACUUAGCUUAAAAGUUCCCUUGGAAUCGAUGUUCCCUUUAUUACUCAAAACUCUUUUGGAAAUCUCAGUUUCCUCUNNNNNNNNNNNNNNNNNNNNNNNNNNNNNNNNNNNNNNNNNNNNNNNNNNNNNNNNNNNNNNNNNNNNNNNNNNNNNNNNNNNNNNNNNNNNNNNNNNNNUAAUAGCUACGAGUUUUAGAUUGGUAGCUUAGAUUCCGUAGCUAUAAAUACAUUUUCUUGUAGUGCGCGCAAUUCCUAAAAGAUGGCUCGUAAAUGUAAAAUAUGUCUUAUAAUGGAGGGACUAUACGUAAUGCUCCCCCAACUCAUUACAGAGGUCCUCAUAAAGUUUUUUCAAAAAAGAUUCCUAAGGGAGAUGCAACAACUCAAGCAAUUCAUGUUUACAUUAAUGCUAUCAAAGCAUUUCAUCAAUCAACCAAAUAGGGUCCACAACAUGGCAAUUCACAAAGCAUUAGGAUCAACACUUUGCCUUUUCAUUAAUCCUCUUUUUAUUUGUUAAGAUUAAUCAAGUGGAACAACGAACCAAUCACCUCAUUCACAUUACUUCCCAACACACACAAUGAAGGAAAAUACACGAUACUACUAGAUUUACAAGGUUUAAACGAUCACUUGUCUUAAUUCAAUCAAAUAGUCAAUCUAAGAGUUGAGUUUUCCCUUUCCGAACAACGUCCAAAGACACACAAUCUAUUUCAAUCAAGUAAUGACAAUAAGAUUCGGGAAAUAACAAUAUCCAUAUCAUAAACUUUGACAAAUGGGUCAAUCAACUCAAAAACCCAAUUCCAAAAAAAUUAGGUAUGAAUUCAAAAAUAUUUACUUGAAAAGGUUACUCACGAUAUUUGGAACUCAUUGGUGAAAACCAUUUCGAAAAAGGGGUUAAAAUCAGUUCACAAUCAUUGUUUUAGUUUAGACCUCAAGUUCUUGGAAAACCUUGCAAUUUGUCAAUCAAAAUUCCAAGUUUUGAUGUUAAAAUCUAUAAAUAAUCAAAGGGAAAUGAAGUUUUAGGGUCACAAAAGAUUACCCAAAUGAUUUAGCACAAGAAAUCCCUUCAAAAUCGCCUCCAAGGAUUUUACAAAGCUCAAAAAUGAAAAAUGGGUGUUAAACCCUGAAUUUGCAGGUCUAAAGCCCUCUCAGAUAUCGCAAAAGCAAACUUUUGUUCGCAAAAGCGAACCUCAGAUAAAAUCCUCGGCCUUCGCUUUCACGAACUAGCCUUCUCUAACACGAAGGUCAUGAUCGUGAACAAGCUUUCGCUUUUGUGAAGGUCUAUCCACUUGACUAUUCGUGAAAGCAAAUAUGCCUUCACAAACGUGACCCUCGUGAAAACGAAGAUCAUUCGUGAUCAUGAGGUCAUCAGACACUAGAAAAACAACCAACUUUCAAAUCAUCGAAUGUACCUUCAGGAUUCACUCGGAACUCCAUACACAUAAAACAUAUAUGCAAAUUGACUAAACUCAACGUUACGAACUCAAUGGAACUGUGGAACAUGAAUCUAAGAUUUUCUUGACCCGACAUUCGUGAAAGUCACAAAAAAUUAGCAUAACGCCUAAAAAGGUCAAAUCAAGCUCGGGACCUCUGAAAAUUCAAUCAAGACCUUAGGCCAAAAAUCAUCCCCGAAUCCAGCGGAACUCCCGAAAUUCCGAUCCGAGCAUUCGAACCCCGAAUGUUGACCAAGUCAACCCAAAGACUAAAUUUUCAUAACUUUCAAAUUUAGGACCUCAAAUCCUCAAUAAGACUCUAAAUAUAAAAUAGAAAACUUUCAUAGAUCAAUUUCCACAUUUCAAAACUGAUGGAAUCGACGGAAUUCCAUUUCGACACUCGGACCUCUAAAAGACACCGAAAAUCAUUUUUAACAACUUUAGCCUUUUAAAAUAAAAAUUUACAAAAUUCUCAACUGUUUACUCAAUGUUCGAAACCAACUUUCAAAACUCAGUCAAAAAUGACUCGAUAUCAAUAUCGAAAGGGUUAAUUUCAUGAAAAAUUCCAAAAAUGAUCAACUAGUUCAUUACAAAAAGAAAUUACAAUCAACUCGGCACUUGAGUCUUCCCUUUACGACGAGUCUCCAAAUCCAAAGUAUCUAAUCAAAUGAAGAAUCAUAAUAAUAAAUCAUGAACAACAAACACUCAUAAAGUUGAUUUUGGAAACCGGGUCCAAAUCGACCCAAAAAGUAAUUUCUGAGGGUUGAGGGUUAAUAAAAAAUUCUUAAAGAAAAUCAUCAUACCCAAAGAUUUUGAAACUCACAAGUGAAAUUGUAACGAAAAAUGAUUUGAAAUCGUACUCAAAACUAUAGUUUACUAAAAACACAAGUUUAAGAGAAAACUCUUCAAUACUCGGGUCCGAAAUUCCGACUCAAAUAUAAAAUAUUUCUUGAAAAAUAUCUUAUUCAUACUUAGGGGAGUUCAAAUAUGAAAUUUCAUCGAGAAUAGAGUUAAAAUUGACCUUGAAAUCCUCAAUAUAUCAAACAUUAACUUUACUAUGAAAACCCUAUAUUCUCAAGCUUAUAUAUAUGAUGACAAUAGUUGAUGAAUCAACAAGUUUAUGUCAAAAUCAGUUUACCCAUAACAUAAGAAUCCUAAAUAUACAUUUUUCAUCAAAAACUGAGUCCAAACUAAUAAAACCUCAAAUUUCCCCCAAGAAAUUCACGGAUAAGGAAUGAAAAUUAUAAAAGAAAUCAUGAGAGAAUGUUGAAAUGAGGAUUGGAUACUAACCCCCAUAUUAAAUCGAGAAAAAUGUCGCAAGAAUCACUCCAUUUCAAGCUCUAGAGUUCCCAAUAUGCUCAAAAUAUCAAAUGAACACAGUCUGAAUUUUUAAAUACCUGAACAACAGUAUUUACACCAGAAACCAACAACUUUAAUUUUCACUAAGGGAGUUGUAACUUACUUAUACGAUAGUGAAAUGACCCAAUUCUUUUUUUAUUUAAAUGUCUUAAAUAAUGAUACGGGCCUGCUCGUUCAAUCGAAACUAAUUAUGUGCUCAUUUGCUUAAUCAAAUAUCAUUGCUACUCGGUAAAUAUUUAUUUCAUAUUUCGUGAUAAAAGCUCAAUCUCGCAUUAUCAAAAUUACACCAAACUUUACAAAUCAGUCGUAUGAUUCAUUUUCAGCUCAUAGAGGACAUGACCUUAGAUAGGAGGAAAUGAAAGUUGCGGAUAAGGAUAGUAGGUAGUUAAGAGUUGUCUUAUUACUAGCCUAUUCAAGUAUUUGGCUAGGUGGUAGUAUGGAGCACCUUGCAGUUGUUAUGGUUUCUUGCAUAUAUGUUUUGCACUGCCUUGCUUUGUACUAAUUGUAUUAUUGUAAUUCUUACUUUUGAUAUUCAGCAUCAUCAGUUGUUUACUGUGUUCCCAUUAUCGCACUAUUCAAGGAUCUAUCGAAAGUAGUGUCUCAACUUCCACGAGGUAAUGGUAAGGUUUGUGUACACUCAAUCCUCCCCAUACACUCUACCCUCCCCAAACCUCACUUGUGAGAUUUUACUGAAUAUGUUAUUUUUUCCACUUGGCCUCUUAUUAAAUUGAUCGAAAAAUAUUCAAACAUCAAACUAUAAGAAAUGGUUCCUGUUUCCGCCGGUAGUUCUAAGGGAACUUGGAUGCAGAUUCUUGCAUAACGUUCCCUCCCCUAAGAAGGGAUAUUGUACCUGUGUAUUUUAAGGAGAGAGCCAAGUACUUUUCCAAUGUUCUUCACAACACUAAUUCAUUGAUGGGAGUCCCAACUGUUUUUGUGUUGGGUAAGACAGAAAUAACAGCACUUAGGCAAAGAUUACUUGUAAAACUUCCAACUUUGCCUGUACUUGACAAGUCAAAAAGCCAAGAGCUAUAUGCACACUACACGCAUACAAAUGUCUCUUCACAUUAGUCACAAAUUGGUCCAGAAGCAAAGUAAAACUAACAAUUUUUAUCCAACAAAUUGAAAACUGAGAUUCUGAAGUUGACAGAAAUUUAGCAGUACCAGCCACACUUCACCGAAGGAAAGAAUACAGGUAAACAAAUGCAGUUUCUCUUGAACUUCGUUUACAGAAAGAAAAAAAAUUACUUUAGUUAAUAAUCUAUAGCAAAAAGCACACUAAGUUAACCUACAAAAAAUAACGCUAUCCAAGAAAAUAAGCUUAACGCCAUUGCAAGUUAGCAGCUGCUCUUUUCCAAGUAAAGCUACAUUUAGCUUAGAACUAGUGGCAAAUUUGCACAUCCAACAGUUUUGCUUGUAAGGAACCUACAAUGACAUUCUUUCAUGACUUCAACCCAACAAAAUAGGAGAUUUGGGAAAGGGUGAAGUAGAAACAGGGAGAAGGGAGCAAGAAUCCCACGCCAUCUGUCCACUCACGAAGACGUAAGUUGCUAUGUUGGUGAUCCUUUCAGGUACAUCUGGACCCUGACAUCAAAAGCAUGGACCUACACCUUUUUGAGGCACCUGGAAGUGAGAAAUGGUAGAACCUCAAGUUGCUUCGAAAGAAAGCCUUUCCCGAAAAGCAACCCAAAAAUGCUAGCCAAGAAACUACAUCUCCUGUUAUGACUUAUGCGUAAUACAUAUACAAGCUGUUUGCGGCAGCACAGGCUAUGGAAUUUUCAGUCGGAUGCCAUGCCAGAUGAAGCAGUUUUGUCGUGAAAUCAAAUGAGUUUCCAUUUGCAUCAACACUUGCAUUAUCUGCUCCU
This 14019-nucleotide long non-coding RNA is filed under the name Solanum tuberosum (potato). RNAcentral's name for it is "long non-coding RNA (STUB_LNC011759)". The record is from RNAcentral. Lineage: Eukaryota; Viridiplantae; Streptophyta; Magnoliopsida; Solanales; Solanaceae.